This 403-nucleotide ribosomal RNA is filed under the name uncultured bacterium. RNAcentral describes it as "bacterial SSU rRNA". It matches the Rfam family "Bacterial small subunit ribosomal RNA", at positions 355 to 774 of the family's 1533-position model. The record is from RNAcentral.
UAGGGAAUAUUGCAAAAUGGGCGAAAGCCCGAUGCAGCAACGCCGCGUGGGCGAUGAAGGCCUUCGGGUCGUAAAGCCCUUUUUGAGGGGAUGAGGAAGGACAGUACCCUCAGAAUAAGCCUCGGCUAACUACGUGCCAGCAGCCGCGGUAAAGCGUAGGAGGCGAGCGUUAUCCGGAUUUACUGGGCGUAAAGCGCGUGCAGGCGGAUUGGAGAGUUGGAUGUGAAAGCUCCCGGCUUAACUGGGAGAGGUCGUUCAAUACUUCCAGGCUUGAGUGCAGUAGAGGGAAGUGGAAUUCCGGGUGUAGUGGUGAAAUGCGUAGAUAUCCGGAGGAACACCAGUGGCGAAAGCGGCUUCCUGGACUGUAACUGACGCUCAGACGCGAAAGCUAGGGUAGCAAACG